This 513-nucleotide ribosomal RNA is filed under the name Psychrosphaera saromensis. RNAcentral's name for it is "Bacterial large subunit ribosomal RNA". It matches the Rfam family "Bacterial large subunit ribosomal RNA", at positions 1 to 571 of the family's 2925-position model. Lineage: Bacteria; Pseudomonadati; Pseudomonadota; Gammaproteobacteria; Alteromonadales; Pseudoalteromonadaceae. The record is from Rfam by way of RNAcentral.
UAAGUGAAUAAGCGUAUACGGUGGAUGCCUUGGCAAUUGGAGGCGAUGAAAGACGUGUUAAUCUGCGAUAAGUCUGGUUAAGGUGAUAAAAACCGUUAUAGACCAGAAUUUCUGAAUGGGGAAACCCACUGCAUUUUGUGCAGUAUCGCAUAGUGAAUACAUAGCUAUGCGAAGCAAACCCGGAGAACUGAAACAUCUAAGUACCCGGAGGAAAAGAAAUCAACCGAGAUUUCCUGAGUAGCGGCGAGCGAAAGGGAAACAGCCGAUUCAGUAUGAUGUAGUGGAAGGUUCUGGAAAGUUCCGCAAUAAAGGGUGAUAGCCCCGUACACGAAGCAGCAUAUUGGACACAUUAAGUAGGUCGGAGCACGAGAAACUUUGACUGAAGAUAGGGGGACCAUCCUCUAAGGCUAAAUACUCCCAAUUGACCGAUAGUGAACCAGUACCGUGAGGGAAAGGCGAAAAGAACCCCUGUGAGGGGAGUGAAAUAGAACCUGAAACCGUAUACGUACAAGC